CGGAGGAUCCAAGCGUUAUCCGGAUUCAUUGGGUUUAAAGGGUGCGUAGGCGGACUGAUAAGUCAGCGGUGAAAUCUCUCGGCUUAACCGAGAAACUGCCGUUGAUACUGUCAGUCUUGAGUACAGAUGAUGUGGGCGGAAUAUGACAUGUAGUGGUGAAAUACUUAGAUAUGUCAUAGAACACCGAUUGCGAAGGCAGCUCACAAAACUGUCACUGACGCUGAUGCACGAAAGCGUGGGGAUCAAACAGGAUUAGAUACCCUGGUAGUCCACGCCCUAAACGAUGAUUACUCGAUGUUGGCGAUACACCGUCCAGCGUCCAAGCGAAAGCGUUAAGUAAUCCACCUGGGGAGUACGGCCGCAAGGCUG
Molecule: ribosomal RNA, 369 nt
Filed under: uncultured organism
Description: bacterial SSU rRNA
Rfam family: Bacterial small subunit ribosomal RNA
Source: RNAcentral